UACGUAGGGGGCAAGCGUUAUCCGGAAUUACUGGGUGUAAAGGGAGCGUAGGCGGCAAGGUAAGUAAGAUGUGAAAGCCCGCAGCUUAACUGCGAGGAUUGCAUUUUAAACUAUCUAGCUUGAGUACAGGAGAGGUAAGCGGAAUUCCUAGUGUAGCGGUGAAAUGCGUAGAUAUUAGGAAGAACACCAGUGGCGAAGGCGGCUUACUGGACUGUAACUGACGCUGAGGCUCGAAAGCGUGGGGAGCGAAC
This 251-nucleotide ribosomal RNA is filed under the name uncultured bacterium. RNAcentral's name for it is "partial 16S ribosomal RNA". It matches the Rfam family "Bacterial small subunit ribosomal RNA", at positions 524 to 773 of the family's 1533-position model. The record is from RNAcentral.